UGGAACAAUGUAGGUAAGGGAAGUCAGCAAGCCGGAUCCGUAACUUCGGGAUAAGUAUUGGCUGUAAGGGCUGGGUCGGUUGGGCUGGGUGCAUGCCACCGCUGGAAGAGGCCCUGCAGCGCCCCCAUGCCCCAGGGACGCCUGUCGUGGCCCUCCUCUGCCCCAACCCGCGUGCUGCUCGCUCCCUCCCCCGCCCCCUCUCUCCCUGUCCUCCCCCUCUCUGGUGGUGGCGUGUGGGGGAGGAGGGGUGGCGGUGGCUAUACGGCCCCGGUGGCAGGGCAUGAUCUCCCGUGAGGGGGAGCUGGUGGUGGCGGUGACUCUGGACGCGAGCCAGGCUCUUCCCAUGGAUUGCCCCAGUUGUGGCCGCCCAUGGGGAGCCCGGUGGGUGCUGGCGUGUCCUGUCUUGCUCCGCGCUGUCAUGCAUUUCAGCGCGGGCAGGGAGUGAUUGGGUGUCGGUGGGUGGCGGGCGGGGUGGUUCAUUCCCCCACCUCCCCCCGGCCCCAUCUGUCUCCUGUUCCCCACUCCGUGGAGGUGGCGGGCCACGUGCUGGUCCCUGCCACCAGGGCGGCGGUUCCGUGCAGCGCCUCGGCUGGUGCUUAGCAGUCGACGUAUAGAACUGGUGUGCACCAGGGGAAUCCGACUGUUUAAACAAAGCAUCGCGAAGGCCCUCGGGGGGUGUUGCAAAGUGAUUUCUACCCAGUGCUCUGAAUGUCAAAAUGAAGAAAUUCAAUGAAGUAUGGGUAAAUGGCGGAAGUAACUAUGGCUCUCUUAAGGUAGCCAAAUGCCUCGUCAUCUAACUAGUGACGUGCAUGAAUGGAUGAAUGAGAUUCCCACUGUCCCUACCUACUUACUAUCCAGUGAAACCACAGCCAAGGGAAUGGGGUUGGUGGAAUCAUUGGGGAAAGAAGAACCUGUUGAGCUUGACUGUAGUCUGGCAUGGUGAAGAGACAUGAGAGGUGUAGAAUAAGUGGGAGGUCCCCGGUGCCCCCUAUCCCCGUGAGGGGGUGGGGUGGGGUCCUGUGGGCUGCCCAUGGAAUACUACUACUCUGAUCAUUUUUUCACUGAUCUGGUGAGGCAGGGGGUGAGCCCCGAGGGGCUCUCCCUUCUGGCGCUAAGUGCCCAGCUGCAUGCUGGCCGGGUGUUGACCCAUUCUGAGGACAGUGCCAGGUGGGGAGUUUGGGGCAGUACACCUGUUGAACAGUAAUACAGAUGUCCUAAGGCGAGCUCAGGGAGGACAGAAACCUCUUGUGGAGCAGAAGGAGAAAAGCUCGCUUGAUUGUGAUUUUCAGUGCGAAUACAGACUGAAAGCCGGGUUUGACGAUCAUUCUGACGUUUUUAAGCAGGAGCUGUUAGGAAGUUACCACAAGGGAUAACUGGCUCGUUGCGGCCAAGCGUUCAUAGGGAUGUUGCUUUUUGAUCCUUUAAUGUUGGUUCUUCCUAUCAUUGUGAAGUAGAAUUCACCAAGCAUUGGAUUGUUCACCCACUAAUGGGGCAUGUGAGCUGGAUUUAGACCUUCGUGAGACAGGUUAGUUUUACCCUCCGUGAUGUGUGUUGUUGCCAUGGUAAUCCUGCUCAGCAUGAGAGGAAUCACAGGUUCAGACAUGUGCUUGGUUGAGGAGCCAAUGGGGUGAAGCUACAGUCUGUUGGAUUGUGACUGAACGCCUCUAAGUCAGAAUCCCGCCCAAGAGGAAGGAUACAUCA
Molecule: ribosomal RNA, 1701 nt
Organism: Homo sapiens (human)
Lineage: Eukaryota; Metazoa; Chordata; Mammalia; Primates; Hominidae
Rfam family: Eukaryotic large subunit ribosomal RNA
Source: Rfam